CCUACGGGCGGCAGCAGUGAGGAAUAUUGGUCAAUGGACGAUAGUCUGAACCAGCCAAGUAGCGUGAAGGAUGACUGCCCUAUGGGUUGUAAACUUCUUUUAUAAAGGAAUAAAACGAGGCACGUGUGCCUGUUUGCAUGUACUUUAUGAAUAAGGAUCGGCUAACUCCGUGCCAGCAGCCGCGGUAAUACGGAGGAUCCGAGCGUUAUCCGGAUUUAUUGGGUUUAAAGGGAGCGUAGAUGGGUUGUUAAGUCAGGUGUGAAAGUUUGCGGCUCAACCGUAAAAUUGCAAUUGAUACUGGCAGUCUUGAGUACAGUAGAGGUAGGCGGAAUUCGUGGUGUAGCGGUGAAAUGCUUAGAUAUCACGAAGAACCCCGAUUGCGAAGGCAGCUUACUAAACUGUGACUGACGUUGAUGCUCGAAAGUGUGGGUAUCAAACAGGAUUAGAUACCCUGGUAGUC
Molecule: ribosomal RNA, 460 nt
Filed under: uncultured bacterium
Lineage: Bacteria
Description: partial 16S ribosomal RNA
Rfam family: Bacterial small subunit ribosomal RNA
Source: RNAcentral